GGGUUAGUAGGUUGGUCAUGCCUUCGGUAUGUACUGGCUUUACUGAUUCCUCCUUCUUGACGAACCGUGAUGUCAUUAAUUUGGUGUUGCGGGAAAUCAGGACUGUUACUUUGAAAAAAUUAGAGUGUUUAAAGCAGGCUAACGCUUGAAUACAUUAGCAUGGAAUAAUGAAAUAGGACGUUAAUCCUAUUUUGUUGGUUUCUAGGAUCGACGUA
RNAcentral lists this ribosomal RNA (215 nucleotides) under uncultured Glomus. RNAcentral describes it as "partial small subunit ribosomal RNA". The stretch from base 39 to 215 matches the Rfam family "Eukaryotic small subunit ribosomal RNA", at positions 685 to 864 of the family's 1831-position model. Lineage: Eukaryota; Fungi; Glomeromycota; Glomeromycetes; Glomerales; Glomeraceae. The record is from RNAcentral.